CUAGCUGGCUGGCUCUUCGUCGCGGCUUGAGUUGCGAUCGAUGAUCAUCGUACCGGUUGAUCAUGACCCAGAAAAAUCUUCUUGUUGGUACCCAAUAAUUGGAAGCCAGUACUGAAUUGAAAUGGCGCUAGCUAGCUCACAACUUGUUCGUGGAAAGAUACGUAGUGUGGUAUUAUUAGCUCAUAUUCGACGGUUUAGCUUUGGACAGAUUCAAAGUAACUUUGGGCCAAGUGGAACACGCGCCCUCACAAAAGUUGCCCCAUCGUGUAGAUCAGGUACUAUAUUGAACUGCAUCACAGAUUUGAUAGUUUUGCUUUGGACAGAUUCCAAGCAAAUUUCAGCAAAAUGGGGCACUGUGUAGUAGUACCAUAGCUUGCCUCCAAUUAGUUUCUUCCGUAGAAGAAAAAAUUGCAAGGAAAGCACACACUUGCACUCGUCGGAAGUCUACGAUAGAGAUGGAACAAAACGGAAAAAGAAAGCGG
This 482-nucleotide long non-coding RNA is filed under the name Hordeum vulgare. Its description in RNAcentral is "long non-coding RNA (HVUL_LNC013047)". Lineage: Eukaryota; Viridiplantae; Streptophyta; Magnoliopsida; Poales; Poaceae. The record is from RNAcentral.